UACGGAGGGUGCAAGCGUUGUUCGGAAUCAUUGGGCGUAAAGCGCGUGUAGGCGGCUUGGCAAGUCAGUUGUGAAAGCCCGGGGCCCAACCCCGGAACUGCAUCUGAAACUGCCUGGCUAGAGUCCCGGAGAGGAAGGCAGAAUUCCCGGUGUAGGGGUGAAAUGCGCAGAUAUCGGGAAGAACACCCGUGGCGAAGGCGGCUCUCGUGGGACGGUGACUGACGCUGAGACGCGAAAGCGUGGGGAGCGAACAGG
Molecule: ribosomal RNA, 255 nt
Filed under: uncultured bacterium
Lineage: Bacteria
Description: partial 16S ribosomal RNA
Rfam family: Bacterial small subunit ribosomal RNA
Source: RNAcentral